UACGUAGGGUGCGAGCGUUGUCCGGAAUUACUGGGCGUAAAGAGCUCGUAGGUGGUUUGUCGCGUUGUUCGUGAAAACUCACAACUCAAUUGUGGGCGUGCGGGCGAUACGGGCAGACUGGAGUACUGCAGGGGAGACUGGAAUUCCUGGUGUAGCGGUGGAAUGCGCAGAUAUCAGGAGGAACACCGAUGGCGAAGGCAGGUCUCUGGGCCGAUACUGACGCUGAGGAGCGAUAGCGUGGGGAGCGAACAGG
This 253-nucleotide ribosomal RNA is filed under the name uncultured bacterium. Its description in RNAcentral is "partial 16S ribosomal RNA". It matches the Rfam family "Bacterial small subunit ribosomal RNA", at positions 524 to 776 of the family's 1533-position model. The record is from RNAcentral.